This 260-nucleotide unclassified non-coding RNA is filed under the name Hevea brasiliensis (rubber tree). The record is from RNAcentral. Lineage: Eukaryota; Viridiplantae; Streptophyta; Magnoliopsida; Malpighiales; Euphorbiaceae.
CAGAUAACAUGGCUGGGGAUAGAAAUGAGGAAACUUCGUCCAAAGGCGAGUCGGCUUUCAACUCUGAUGCUCAGUUGCCGAAGAUGGCUCUUAAGUUGGGAUUCACUCUGCCAGCUUCGUGCUAUGCAACAAUGGCUAUAAGGGAGUUGUUGAAAACUUCAACUUCGGUUGCUUAUCAGAAAUCAAUUAACCAGUAAAGAUGAUUUCCGCAUACUGCUUUCUGAUUAGUACUCAGAAACUAACCCGGAGAAGGAACAUGG